RNAcentral lists this unclassified non-coding RNA (760 nucleotides) under uncultured Prochlorococcus sp. RNAcentral describes it as "partial 16S-23S ribosomal RNA intergenic spacer; may also contain 16S ribosomal RNA and 23S ribosomal RNA". The stretch from base 1 to 93 matches the Rfam family "Bacterial small subunit ribosomal RNA", at positions 1441 to 1533 of the family's 1533-position model. Lineage: Bacteria; Bacillati; Cyanobacteriota; Cyanophyceae; Synechococcales; Prochlorococcaceae. The record is from RNAcentral.
UUGUGGAGGAGGACGCCGAAGGUGGGGCUGAUGACUGGGGUGAAGUCGUAACAAGGUAGCCGUACCGGAAGGUGCGGCUGGAUCACCUCCUAACAGGGAGACAACAACUGAUCGUGAUGUUUAAGAUAUCUAUUCUUAAGCCAUGAUCCUGUCACCUAAGGUCGAUCGGUACCUCAAUUUUUUCUCAAUACUUUUGAUUUUUCAAAGGAUAUAGAAAAAAAUCAGUUCCUAAACUUUGUCUAGGUCACACCCCGCAAGGGUACUCCUGGGCCAUUAGCUCAGGUGGUUAGAGCGCACCCCUGAUAAGGGUGAGGUCCCUGGUUCAAGUCCAGGAUGGCCCAUUCGGUGUUGGGGGUAUAGCUCAGUUGGUAGAGCGCCUGCUUUGCAAGCAGGAUGUCAGCGGUUCGAGUCCGCUUACCUCCACUGAUCGACCUCCUGACAACAAACUAAGGAGUAGUUGUUGCCAGAUGUGAUUUAGACCAAAAUUUUAUUGACAUGAACCUAGCUUCAUUUCAUCCAUAAUCUAAAACAUAGAUAAGGUUGAAAAGACGCUGGGCUCUCUACAAUUCCAAGGAAUUGUGGUUAUGUUCAGUAGAACCUUGACAACUGCAUAGGUGAGUUUGGAAUGAAUAAAGCAUCUCAUGGAUGCAUUAUUCUUAUAUAUAAGAAUAAUGUUUAAUUCUUGAGCAAGAGAAUAAAUUUUAUUGUUAUUUUUGUUUUUUACACUAAUAAUAAUGAAAUUUAUAUGGUCAAGCUACAA